CCUACGGGAGGCAGCAGUGAGGAAUAUUGGUCAAUGGACGAGAGUCUGAACCAGCCAAGUAGCGUGAAGGAUGACUGCCCUAUGGGUUGUAAACUUCUUUUAUAUGGGAAUAAAACGUUCCACGUGUGGGAUUUUGUAUGUCCCAUAUGAAUAAGGAUCGGCUAACUCCGUGCCAGCAGCCGCGGUAAUACGGAGGAUCCGAGCGUUAUCCGGAUUUAUUGGGGUUAAAGGGAGCGUAGGUGGAUUGUUAAGUCAGUUGUGAAAGUUUGCGGCUCAACCGUAAAAUUGCAGUUGAAACUGGCAGUCUUGAGUACAGUAGAGGUGGGCGGAAUUCGUGGUGUAGCGGUGAAAUGCUGAGAUAUCACGAAGAACUCCGAUUGCGAAGGCAGUUCACUGGACUGCAACUGACACUGAGGCUCGAAAGUGUGGGUAUCAAACAGGAUUAGAUACCCCUGUAGUC
RNAcentral lists this ribosomal RNA (460 nucleotides) under uncultured bacterium. RNAcentral's name for it is "partial 16S ribosomal RNA". It matches the Rfam family "Bacterial small subunit ribosomal RNA", at positions 338 to 795 of the family's 1533-position model. The record is from RNAcentral.